RNAcentral lists this ribosomal RNA (373 nucleotides) under uncultured organism. RNAcentral's name for it is "bacterial SSU rRNA". It matches the Rfam family "Bacterial small subunit ribosomal RNA", at positions 526 to 896 of the family's 1533-position model. The record is from RNAcentral.
CGUAGGGUGCGAGCGUUAAUCGGAAUUACUGGGCGUAAAGCGUGCGCAGGCGGUUUUGUAAGACAGAUGUGAAAUCCCCGGGCUCGACCUGGGACCUGCAUUUGUGACUGCAAGGCUAGAGUACGGUAGAGGGGGAUGGAAUUCUCGGUGUAGCGGUGAAAUGUGUAGAUAUCGAGAGGAACACCUGCGGCGAAGGCGGGUUGCUGGGCUGACACUGACGCUGAGGCGCGAAAGCUAGGGGAGCGAACGGGAUUAGAUACCCCGGUAGUCCUAGCCUUAAACGAUGAAUGCUUGGUGUCUGGGGUUUUAUAGUCCCCGGGUGCCGUCGCUAACGCUUUAAGCAUUCCGCCUGGGGAGUACGGUCGCAAGACUG